Molecule: long non-coding RNA, 1175 nt
Organism: Spinacia oleracea (spinach)
Lineage: Eukaryota; Viridiplantae; Streptophyta; Magnoliopsida; Caryophyllales; Amaranthaceae
Exons: 2
Source: RefSeq, a predicted model, not a curated record
UGAUGGCUGAUGAUGAUGGAAAAUUGACGGUGAUGAUUGAUGAUGGUGAAGCUGGGAGGCUCGAAGGGGUGGAGAACACAGGAAAAGGAAGACGAAGGGAUGGAAAGGGCUGACUACUAAAAUUCAAAGAGGGAGGAGUCUGAUAGUAUUCAUUUUUUUGGGGGGUCUGCGAUCAUUUUGGGGUUUUGGGUAGGGGUGUUCAAAACUACCCGAUCCGCAAUACCCGACCCGCUGACCCGCUGAUCCGGCACAAAUAAAGCGGGUAAUUUGCUGAUUUUUCUAAAUUAAAUGGGCCGGGUACCCGACCCGGUAAAUAUACCGUGUAACGGGUCGGGUCACGGGCUGCUGUUUUGAUUAAGCGGGUACCCGAAUACCAGUUAAAACCUAAAAAAUAUUAAUUCUUUUUAUGCGUGUUUCAUUGUUUUAUGUUGAUUGUUGGGCUUUGUUUAGAACAUUAGACUUUAGGGUUAUCAAACACUCCGCCGCUCGCCUCUCAUUCUCGAUUUCUCUCACCUCCUCUAUCACUCUCACCCUCUCUCGCAUUCACGCUCACUCUCUCAGGCCGGCAGGCCAGCAGAGCAGGCCAACAGGUCUACCGCCAGUCCACCGCCAGUACACCGACGCAGUAGUUCACUGACUCGCCAAUCAAGAUUCAAGAUUAUGGCAAUUGGUGGCGGAGAAAAUGACAUCGAAAUGUUCAAGUUGGUUGAUCUUGGUGUUGCUCUUAGUAAUGGGUCAGAGAAGACAAAAGUUGUGUGCUGAUAUGAUUGGUCUUAGCAAUGAUGAACAUGGGCUUGCUUCACAAUCUUAUUUUUCAUUCUCCGUUCUCUAUAUUAAUAUUGGUUUAAUUCGUUUUUGAUUCCUACAUAGAAAGAUAAACAUCAUUAUUUACAACAGAAUGAGAUUUCUUAAAACGGGUACCCGGUUUUUCCGGGUCGGAACGUGGGCCGACAAAAUGACUACCCGCAAUUCCGGGUACCCGCAUUUUCGGAUACCGUUUACCCGGGUACCCGGUAAUGAACACCCCUAGUUUUGGGGGUUCUUUUUUCCUUUUUUUUUUUUUACUCUUUUUCUUUUUCUCCUUGUUUUACUUCUCCUUUUAAGUCCCUUAAUUCCUUCUUAUUAUUGUCAGAUUUCUUUCUCUUUAAUUAAUUUCCCUCUUUUAUUUUUUUUAA